UUAUUGUUAUUUUGGCAGAUUAGUGCAUUAAAUUUAGAAUUUAAUUAUGUUUAAAAACAAAUAAUAC
RNAcentral lists this transfer RNA (67 nucleotides) under Hydraena claudia. Its description in RNAcentral is "transfer RNA-Leu". Lineage: Eukaryota; Metazoa; Arthropoda; Insecta; Coleoptera; Hydraenidae. The record is from RNAcentral. RNAcentral also lists the same sequence under 1 other name.